This 491-nucleotide unclassified non-coding RNA is filed under the name Hevea brasiliensis (rubber tree). The record is from RNAcentral. Lineage: Eukaryota; Viridiplantae; Streptophyta; Magnoliopsida; Malpighiales; Euphorbiaceae.
CUGCUGUUUGCCCAAUCAACUUCAAAAGUUGAGCUGCGAAGAUAUAUAGGAAGGAGAGAAGAACGGAUGUAGUGCCAAGAAUGAUCCAUGAUCUUUGCAAAUAGAUUCCAAGCAUAUCCAGUUUCCCUGCUCCAAAUGCUUGCCCACAUAGCGUUUCAAGCGCACUUCCCAUUCCAAGCAUGGCGCCGAAGGAAAAACCGGCGAUGACAGAGUUCUCAACGGAGACGGCAGCGAGGGCCAGGGUGCCAACUUGACCGGAGAAGACUUGAGUGAUAGCGCCAAGGGAGUACUGGCAAACGGAGGUAAAGAUGGCAGGGCCGGCCAGGUACCAGAGUUUUUUGGACUCCUUGUAGAAUUCUCUGAAGAAAUCACGGAUGCCGUUGAUAGGAGGGAUGUCAUCGGCAUCGGGGACGAAGGAAUAAGUGCUUGUUGUUGAUAUGGGAAGUGAGUGUAGACGGUCUAGAUCCUCAUGGUGAUGGUUGUGGUUUUGG